Molecule: long non-coding RNA, 19697 nt
Filed under: Nicotiana tabacum (common tobacco)
Lineage: Eukaryota; Viridiplantae; Streptophyta; Magnoliopsida; Solanales; Solanaceae
Description: long non-coding RNA (NTAB_LNC007197)
Source: RNAcentral
UAAAAACAAAAAAAAGCUGCGCAUGAAAAAGAACAGAAAAAAAACUGAAAAGCAGAAGAAGCUGCGACGAAAGCUGGGACUCCUUUUCACGUCUUCUUCUCCAACGGCCCCUCUCCAUUUUUCUGAACUUUAGUUCCCGUCAACAGCAGUGCAAACGACAUGCUCUCUCCUUUCACCUCACACCCAACGACCCCAGCUCCCCGCCAUCGCAGAUCUGCCAACACCAUCAACAGCUGCUGCCUCGCCGGAGCUGAUCACCGGUGAGUGGCGACGCUGCCGGCGAACCAAACAACACCCUUUAUUUUUGCUUUCUUCAAUCUAGAAUGAGCUCACACCAGCAGCUCAUGCCAUCACACACACACGCACAUGCUGAAGCAGCAGUGAACGAAAAAGGGCUGAAAACAGUGAGGAGUUCAAAACUCGUUUAACACUUUUCCGGCAAGUUUCUGGCCGAGUCUCGAUGACUAUUCUGCUGGUUCCUUGUCGAGGUUGAGUCCAUCUUGGGGUUCGUUUGCGAGAUCCGUACAACGCCAUAUAUUGAGGUGUCGAGUUCGUCGAAGUCCCUGGUGCAAGCUUCCCAUUUAGUCGUUGAGUCGGAGAUUUGAGGUCCGUCGAGGUUUGUCGGUGCGGUUCACGUUUCCGGUAAGCGGCUCUCAGAUUUGUUCGAUUUUUGCUUAGAGGUCCAUUUCCUUUUCUCUUAAGCUCUAGAUCUUUAUUUCAUAUAUGGUUUUGUAUUGGAUCAUGAUUGAGCUUGAAUUAAAUGUGAGUAUUGAUUACUAUAGGUGUGGUAUAUUGAUUUGUUCUUGUUUAAAAGGCAUGAUGUCUUUGGAUUUCUUUCUUUUGAAAAAUCAUGAACCUGUUUCUUUCCAUUUUGGCUGUUUUUGUUUCAUGAGAUUUGUUCUUAUUUUGAUCUUAAGUAGGUUGAAAAUUAAAAAUUGAGAAUUGACGUAUUAUGAAUAGUUUUGCUGAUUGGUUUGAUUUAAAUUCAUUAAAAUGUUUUGUAAAGGAGAAUGACGAUAAUCAGGUUUGGAGCUUUGGUAAUUCUGUUAUUUUUUUUUACUUUGUUUCUUUGCUAAUUCAUCAAUUAAUAAGAGCAUGCUUAGCCACAGGUUGAUUUUUUUAAGAGAAACUGAAAUUGGAUUUGGGUAGCUUCCCUCUUUGAUUAGUCCAUAAAUGAUAUUUAUAAACACUCAUAGCUUGCUUUUGGCGCCUAGUGAAUCAUCACGGCCAUAGGUACGGUUCCCGUGGCAUAGUCGUGAUAUCUAAUUCCCAAACUCGGGUGCGCAUUUAUGUGACCCAAAUUUAAAUUUUGACAACGUUAAAUAAAAUGUGUCGUGGACUGCGGGUGCAUUUAUGUGACAUAGCUCAAGACGUGUUUUUGAUAACGUUGAAAUCUUCCUAAAAAUGAUUUAAUGAAAAGCGGUGAAAAGUUAAAAUGCAGAUAGGUUUUAAAGGUGUUUUAAAGUCAGAUAAUAGGCCGAAUAUAACAGUUAAGCGACCGUGCUAGAAUCACGGAACUCGGGAAUGCCUAACACUUUCUCCCGGGUUAACAGAAUUCCUUACUCGGAUUUCUGGUUCGCGGACUGUUAAAUAAAGUCAAUAUUUUCCUCGAUUCGGGAUUGGAACCGGUGACUUGGGACACCAUAAAUCUCCCAAGUGGCGACUCUGAAUCUUUAAUUGGAAUAAUCCCGUUUUGAUUGUCCUUUAAUUGGAAAACUCCUUAUACUACCCUCUUCCGGGGGGUGUAGGUGAAAAAAAGGAGGUGUGACACAUAGCAGCAAUUUCUUCCUGAAAUCGUCCUGCAAGAACAUCCUUCUGCCCGAUCUGCAAAGGAAAAGAUAAGUCAGUAAACAUCGAACUAUGAGAAUGGCGAACAAAUUUAUGAAUAACAAGUAACUUGCUCAGCAAGGCCAACCUUUUCUCGGAGCGCUCCCUCCAAAUUCGUCCAAAGCUCGCUUAACUCCUCCUCCUUUCGGGCAGAGGAGGCUUCCGACUCCUGUAGUCCUAAGGUGAGCUUCUCGAGCUCCUUUCUACGGCAUGAAAGCUCAUCUUGGAGCCUAGAGAAGGCGUGAUCAUACAUCUUCUUAGCCUACAACGAAAUAGAAGAUCAGAAAAAAGGUACUUGAGACUAGAAAAGUGUACAUAAAAGGCUAUCACCUUCUGUUGGAACUUCUCCGUUUCCUCGAUAGCGUUGGGAGCGUCGAGAUCAAUGUCUUCACUAACAUCAUCAACUCCAUCAAAGAAGUUGUCAAGCCCUUCUCCCCCCUAAAGAGGACCCUCCACGUUGGUAGCAUUUGGGUCCUAAGCAUCCCUGAGUUCCCCGGGCGAGAACCGAGGACCUAAAUCAAGGCCGCCCAGGGUGUCAAUAUCGCUAAGGAGCAAGCUCCAUCCCCGAGAAGCUCCGGGCCCGGCCCCUUUGGAACCAACAACAACGGUCUCCUCGGAAGGAGCUGCAUCACAUCCGGACAGGGGCUCGUAGACUGUAUCUGUGCCCUCCUUGAGAUCCUCCGAAGCAUGGGCUCGAGCCGAAUCAGCCGUUCCUGACUCAGCGGCCCUCAGCACAUACACUUGGGGGGAAUCUGUGCCCGACCUCUUCCUUUGUACCAAAGGGUUAUCGUCAUCCUCAUCCUUGUCAUCCACGUCACCCUUUGUUAUCGUCAUCCUCAUCCUACGAGACGUGGGUUUCUUUGAUAUGGAGUAAUCGACAACCGGUGCCUUUUUUCUCUUCUUACCCUCAUCGGGCUUAGAGAACCCUCCCUCGCCGGUAGGAGGUGAUCGCAUCUGCAUUCCAUCGCCAAGGCUUUCGCAAACAUAGUAAUCAAAGUUUUUCAGCACGGAGGAUAUAAGGAAGAAAUAUAAAACAUGAUAGAGGCGGCAAGAAAGAGUUUACAAUAAUUCUUGGCCACCCACCGCAUUUUAGCCAACUCAGGCCAAGAUCACUAGGGAUAAGGGAACGAGGAAUUUAAUCCCUUAAUCCACCCCAACAGGUCCGGAAUAGAUUCGGGAUACCAAAGGACGGCUACAUGAGCAAAGGGAAAGUUAGCUUUUUGAGAAGAAAGUAAGAAGACAAUAAAGCAUACAUAAAAAAGAAGAGGCACUUACGCUUCAUGUUCCACUCCUCCGAGAAUGGCAUCCACCUAGCCGGAAUAAUGUCUGAGGUCCUUUCUCGGACAAAUUGGCUCAUCCACCCCCGAUCUUUAUGCUCAUCGAUACUCGAGAAAAAGGUCUUCAAAGAUCGAGAGUGAAGCCUAAUCAAGCUUCAAAAAAGACGGGGGGUGUACAACCUGAUCAUAUGAUUAAGGGUAAAAGUCGUACUCUUGGCUUUGCUGGAAAAGUAGCAAAUCAUGUAAACUGCGGCCCCUAAAUCGCACUUGCGACCUCGCAGAUGCGGCCAGUCCUUCGCAUCUGCGGUCCAGCCCUGGUCUUCCAUUUCCGCAUCUGCGGUCCUCCUAGUGCAUCUGCGGCCUCGCACCUGCUGUUCCCACUCCGCAGGUGCGGAAACAUCAGAAGCAACAGCUUCAGCUGCAUUACUCCUCAUCCAAACUCUCCGUUAAUCAUCCGAAAUCAUCCUGAGGCCUUCGGGACCUCAACCAAUAUUACCAAAAAGUCAUAUAUCCACAUACGAACAUAGUCGAACCUUCGGAACAGUCAAAACAACAUUAAAACACCAAAUUACCUUUGGAUUCAAGCCUAAGAACUUCUAAAUUUUCAUAUUCCACAAACGGUGCCGAAACCUAUCAUACUUCGUCCGAAUGACCUCAAAUUUUGCACACACGUCAAAAAUGACACUAUGAACUUAUUCCAACUCCCGGAAUUCCAUUCUGACCCCGGCAUCAAAAUUUCCACGGGGCUUGUCAUAAUACAUCAUACAGGGCUUGUCAUGCCCGAGAACUGGCGAGCGAAGUGCAAAUGCUCAAAACGACCGGUCGGGUCGUUACACGGAUUUUGGGAAAAGUUGUAUUCGAGUUGCAAUUGUUCAUAUCGGCUAUUUAUGAGAGUUAUUGUUGUUAAACUUGUUUCAUCUUAUUUUUAAUAUAAAGAUGCCAAAUUUUAUUGUGAUUGUUGGCUUGCCUAGUUCUGUGCACUAUCGCAACAAGUUAAGUUUUGGAUCGUGACAGUUAAAAUAUUAGGCUAAGUUAAAUUCGUUAAAGAUAUGCUUCAUAGGUCAUAGAGUCAAGUGAUCAAGCAAGAAAUUACAGUCCCUUAUUUUUUCUCCGGAAAAUACUUACCCAAACCUUUAGUAGCAGCCAUAUGAAAGUGUUAUUGGACAACCCACAAUAGUAUUUUAAUAGGAAAAAUUAAUUUAAAUAAUCGCCCCCUCAACUAGUUAAACGAAAAAAUAUAAUCAGUGAAUGAAUAAUAUAUAUAUAUAUAUAUGAUACUUAAAUACUGAAACUAUUUCGACAAGAUGCCUCAUAGUGUUUGAUACUAUAUUCUUUCUUCAAUGUUUAGAUUCAUUUUUUUAACCACUUGUCUAUAUAUAUAUAUAUAUAUAUAUAUAAUAUAUACUAUACGUAUAACUUACUAUAUACANNNNNNNNNNNNNNNNNNNNNNNNNCCUGGUGGGUGAGCUACUGGGUUCCCGGUCCGAUCCGGGUUCAGUAUAGCUCAUUCCAGGCCCAUUAAAUUAAUGGGUUGGUCCGGUUAAGGUUUCGUGGGUUAUGGGUCGGUUAACGGUUCAAUUUUAAUGGGUUAUGUGAGCCGAUUCAUGGGUCGACCCGACCCAUUUGACAGGUCUAAUUGACAAUAUUGAUCAUAUAUCCUGGUUUGGAGAAAGAAACCCAUGUCCAUUAUGUUAAUGAGUUUUAUUCUUAUUUAGUAAUUUAAUAUUUUGGGACUUAGUACAGUGAAAUAAUAGAAGCAAUCAGUUCUACACAGUGAUGCAGAGAGAGACGCUCCACGUCUCUAACUUUCCACCAAUAGACUUCUUCUUAGAACUUACAAAUGUUUUUCUUUCCUUUUCAUGCACCACCAUUCAUGAUGCCUUAUAACAGUCAUCCACCGUUCACCAUCAAUUUAGAAUCACAUGACUCAAACACUUUGCAGAUCGACAACCCAUCUGAAAGUACAAGGGGUGAAUUGUCGAUAUUUUUUUUAUACUCUAAGUGGUUGACUAAUUACUAUUUAAUCGACUGAAGGUAAGAACAAAAUAUAAGUAAAGCGGGAAUAAAAGUGCAGGAAUUAAAGACAUCAGGAUUUUUAUACUGGUUCGGAUUCAAUGUGAAUCCUGCAUCCAGUCCUCAUGGGUGGCAAGGGUAUUCUCUUUCAGUAUUUGAAGUUUCUCGAUUACAAGAGAGUUGAUGUAGCUUUACACCAACAGCUUAGUCACUAUGUCACGUCUUGCUUCUUGAUACAAUGCCUCAUCCAGUGUUUAUCUCUUUCUCUUCUCUCACUAAUUACACAGCAGAUAUAAAGAGAAUUAAAAUAAUGCUUGUUUGGAGUAGAACAAAACGAGUGAUAUUGUGGUUCGUUCAAAGUAUGUGCUCCUCUCUUGACACACUUUGUUUUAUACUUGAGCUUAUUUGGCUUUGGCGGAUCUUUGAUAGACCGUUGAAGAGAUUUGCAAUCCCAAGGGAAUUAAUUCUCAGAAUUGAAUCUGUUGCAAUCUACUCCAAGAUUAGAUAUAGAGCUUCCAUAGACGAUCUAUGGCUGCCGGUCAUUUCCUUAUAAAUUCAUUUUAUGUUGUUCCUUGAUUCACAUGAUUGAUAGCCUUCCUUUAUUUGACACAUAUCCUUAGCAAUCCGGGUAGCGAGAGAUCUUUAUCCUUCCUUUAUUGAUGCAUAUCUUCAGCAAUCAGGGCAACAAAAAAUCCUAAACCUUCAAUCAUUAUCGCUUCAAUCAUUAGUCCUCCUUACUUGCUUUCGUUUGACAGAUCUUUCUUUGAUUCUUUUACUUCUUCCAGAUUGUUGCCUUGAUUCUUUUACUUCUCCCUUUCUCGACUUCUUCUAUACUUGAAUAACAGAUCUUCUUUAGUCCUUCGUUUUAUCCCUCGUGAUCGUACACCAUAGUCAUAUAUUAAUUUUCAUCAUUAAAAUUUAUAUUUAACAUCUUCUCCUUUUUGAUGGUGACAAAAUAACAUAUAAAAGUAGUUUAAUUUCCUAUUAUAGUUGAUUCUUGUUUUGCUGUAGUUGAAUUCUUUGAUGUGGCAGUCGACUCUACCUCAAAAGGUGUCAUUGUUUGUCCUGCACUUGUAAUCUCACGAGAUGACCUGAUAGGUCAUCUAGAGUUUUAGAAUCUAAUUCUAUGUUUCGAAGCCUCCAAUAGCUUGUUUAAGUCUUUCUCGAUUUGUGUGCACAAUCCGGAUAUUUUUCGAAAGGCCUUUAUGUUAAAAACUGAUAAAAUAUAAAAUUUCACUUCAAAAAUCCAUGUGAGUUGACUUCGGUCAACGUUUUAAGCAGACGGACUCAGAUUCAUAUUUUGAUAGUCCUAGUGGAUCCGUAUCGUAAUUUAGAACCUGCGCUUAUGCCCGAAAUUGAAUUUGGAGGUCCUUAGCUUGAGUUAUUAUUUUUAUCGAAAAUUAAAAGUUUAAAAGUUUAAUGAAUUUUACGAAUUGACCGAUGUUUGAUUUUGUUGAUACCGGGUCAGUAUUUUUGUUUUGGAGUCUGGUACGUGUCCAUUACUAUAUUUAUGACUUGUCUGUCAAAUUUGGUGAGAAGCCGAGUUGGUUUGACGUGAUUCGGACGUCCGGAUGUUAAAAUAGAAGUUUUAAAGUUUUCUUGAAAAUUUUAUUUGAUUUGGUGUCCGAUUCAUAGUUCUAGGCAUUUUUUUUGGUAUUUUAAUCGCGCGAGCGAGUUUGUAUGAGGUUUUUUGACUUGUGUGCAUGAUUGGUUUGGAGGCACGAGGGCUCGGGUGAAUUUUGGAUAUGCUACGAGUGGUUUUAGACUUAGAAAAUCUGGUGUUUUAAACUUCAUCUAGUUCUAGUGUAAUGUACUUCUUAUCGCGAAGCCAUCAUCGUGAUCACGCAGGGGGAACUGGGUAGGGGAGAUUUUACUCUAUGCGAACGCAAAGGACUGUACGCGAAUGUGAAGUGGAGGGGGGCUGCCCUUCGCAAACGCAGACAGUGUAUCGUGAACCACAUAGACUACUAAUGCCUGUCCUUUGACCGCCUUCUAAGUCACAUAGACAAUAUCAAAUUCACUCAACAAUAUCUGCCAUUUUGCUAGUUUCCCUAUAGGCAUUGCUUUCUGGAAAAUGUAUUUCAAGGGAUCCAUCCUUGAUAUGAGAUAUAUAGUAUAGGCACAUAAGUAAUGCCUCAAUUUCUGAGCGAUCCAUGUUAGGGUGCAACAAGUGCGUUCUAGCAAAGAAUACCCUGCUUCAUAGGGUGUGAAUUUCUUAGUCAGAUAAUAUAUGGCCUGUUCCUUUCUUCCCGUCUCGUCGUGUUAUCCCAAGACACAACCAAAAGCUCCAUCUAGUACGGACAGAUAGAGUAGCAGAGGUCUAGCACGUUCCGACGGGACCAGGACUGGUUGUGUGGACAUGUAUUCCUUGAUUUUGCCGAAAGCUUUUUGACAUUCUUCAGUCCAACUUGUUGCAGCAUCCUUCUACAUCAUUUUGAAAAUUGGCUCACAUAUCACAAUCGAUUGUGCUAUGAGGCGACUGAUGUAAUUAAGAAGCCCCAAGAAGCUCAUCACAUCUUUUUUACUCUUCGGAGGUGGAAAAUCUUGUAUAGCUUUGACCUUUGAAGGGUCUAGUUCAAUCCCUCGUCGACUGACAAUGAAACAUAGCAAUUUUCCAGCAGGGACUCCAAAGUCACACUUUGUAGGAUUUAGUUUCAGAUUGUACCUUCGAAGCCGAUUAAAGAAUUUCCUCAAGUCUGCUAUAUGAUCUGUGCUUCUUCUGGAUAUGAUGAUGACAUCGUCCACGUACACCUCUAUUUCUUUGUGAAUCAUGUCAUGGAAAAUAGUCGUCAUAGCUCUUAUAUAAGUGGCUCCAGCAUUCUGCAGGCCAAACAACAUCAUUUUAUAACAAUACAUUCCCCAUGGAGUGAAAAAGGUUGUUUUCUCGGCGUCUUCUUCAUCCAUCCAGAUCUGAUAGUAUCCCGCGAAGCAAUCCAUAAAGGAUUGGAGUUUAUACUUGGCACAGUUGUUGAUCAGUAUGUGUAUAUUGGGUAACAAAAAAUCAUCUUUGGGACUUGCUUUAUUUUGAAUCUCGAUAGUCGACACAUACUCUGACCUUCCCAUUCUUCUUCGAAACUGGCACGAUGUUAUCCAACCAAGUAGGGCAUUCGACCACUCUGCGAACCUUAACUUUGAUUUGUUUGGUGACUUCCUCUUUAAUUUUUAGACUCAUAUCCGGCUUGAACUUUCUGAGUUUCUGCUUUACAAGUUGACACAUCGGAUUGGUAAGUAGCUAUCCACUAUAGAUGUGCUCUAACUAGUCAUAUCAUCAUAAGACCACGUGAAAAUAUCUUCAUACUCCUUCAGGAAAUGGGUGUACUCUUCUUUUUCUGAUGUUGACUGGUAAAUGCUUAAGCGAGUUUCUUUGACUAUUUCAGAGUCUCCCAAAUUGACUAUCUCGGUUUCGUCCAAAUUUGACUUAGGCUUGUUCUCGAAAUUUUUCACUUCUCUAACAAUUUCCUCAGGUAUUGUAUCUUCUUCAUUUCCUCUAAACCACUAUCCUUAUUUUGUGUUGUCUCAUUACAUGUCACAGUCAUCGGUUCAUCAGGAUAAGUAAUAAUAAUGCUGUGGAGAGAAAAUAUAAAGGAUAAUAAUAAAUACUAAAAUUGCAAUGCAUUAGAUAAAUAUUGAAAACAUUAAAACGAGCACGACUCAAUGACUAGAGCAAUUAUUUUUAAAACAAAAUACGUCUAAAACAAAAUACUGAAAAAUGUCUUAAAUGCGAAAAUUGCUUUUAAAAAAUAGAUCAUGCUAAUUGCCAGGUUACCCAGGUACUCGAUGGGUCCGGGAUGGUGCAGCAGUCCAAUUCUUGAGAACAACUCCAUUUCAUACGGUCUAAAUUGUAAGGUCUUCCUCAUCCUCCUCAACUAUUUCAUUGCGGUCCAUGUCUUCAUCGUCCAAAAAUAGAUUCUUUACGCCAGCUAAAGCCUCAUCUUCUUCAGAUCCCCAUAUCAUGGCAACUUGUUAAAAUGUCUGGUGCAGAUGCAGUAUUGGUUGUUCAAGUGGGUAAUAAGGACCACACCAUGGUGGUGACUAAUUCUGAUACUCGUGCCAUGUAUAUUCAUACCCAAGCCCGAAAGUUGUGUUGUGACGCUUUAGCUGUAUCAGUUUUGUGAUCCCCUGGAGAUUCUUUUCGAGACCCUUGCCGGAUUCAUACCCUGUCCAUGACAAUAUGCUUUCAAUCUUAUUACUCUACCAUUUGUCUUUCUCAAUUGCAUUGACGCGCUCGAUGCGAUGGUACGUUUCUCCACCCAACUUCCUACUGUUCUCGACAACCGGAACAAUUUGAUUUGUGUAAAUGGGAUUAUUUCCAUCCCCGUGGAUGAUUACUUCUUGAUGAUUCCAUUCGAACUUCACGGCGUGGUGUAGCAUAGAGGCUACGGCCCCAGCAGCAUGUAUCCACUAUUGUCCCAAUAACAGAUUGUAUGUGGUGUAUAUGUCUAAUACUUAAAAUUCAACGUUAAACCAAGUCGGGUCCAUCUACAAGCAUAGGUUGAUUUCCCCAAUCGUGGCCCUUUAGGACCCAUCGAAUGCUUUCGCGUUCAUAGUUCCUGCUAGUAUCUCAUGCAAACCUUUACCCAACCUUUUCAAAGUGGUCAAUGGACAAAUGUUGAGACUCGAACCCCCAUCUAUUAGGACUCUGGCAAUGAAUUUGUUCUCAAAUUGUACUGUGAUAUGCAGUGCCAUGUUGUGACUCAACCCUUCGGGCGGCAGUCGUCUUCGUGAAAAGUGAUCUUGUGGCUUUCCAACACCUGACCCACCAUAUUAGCCAUUUCUCCACUAGUGAUAAUAUUAGGUACAUAGGCUUCGUUCAACACUUUCAUCAAUGCGUUCCUAUGCGUCUCAGAAUUCUUUAGUAGCUAUAUAAUGGAUAUUUGAGUAGGGGUUUUGUCAGAUGAUCAACCACAUAAUAGUCUUUUGCUUACACCUUUCUCCAAAGAUCAUCCGGGCUAGUUUCAAUUAUAGGUGGCUUGAGAGCGUCUUCUUUGCUUGUUCCUCCUAAAUGCUCAGGCGUGUAAACACUACUGGUCCUGGUCAUGCCUUGUGCUGCACCAGUUUCUUCCAUUUUCCCCUUUCCUUUCCUUCUCGCCUCUGCAGCAUAAUCCCGGGGUAUAACUUUAGGGUGAUAAGAGGGUUAGGUGCUACCGUCACAAUGAAAGGUGUGGUUACUUCCACCUCAAACGGGGUUGGUGCGGCUGAUGGCAUUGUUGCCUUAACCUCGAACGGAGUUGACGUGGCUAUUUCAACCUUAGUUAGCGAUUACAUCUGAACUAUAAUAGGUGUGAGAGUGACUGAAGGUAUUUUGGUUUCAUCCCUUUCACGAAUGAGUCCAAUUGAUCCUUCCGAAUCCCAUUCUUCAUCAGUUUCGAUCACAUUUACCUCCUCGCCCCUGUGAUCCAGAGGGUUGUUGCGGACAUUUGGUGUGACUUUCUUUGCUUGUAUAACCUUGGUGUCAAUUGGUGUCUGGAUCGUAUCCUUCAAAGUGCGACAUUCAUCAAUAGUAUGACCCUUCAUGCCCAAGUGGUAGGCACAUGUCUUAUUUGAAUUAACCCACUAGGAGGAGUUUUCCAUGGCAACAGCGGGAAUAAGAGUGACGUAACCGACAACCUUCAAUCUCUCAUACAACUGAUCGAUGGGUUCAUCAAUGGGAGUGUAUUGUCUGGGUGUUCUACAGUCGAAAUUUUGUCUGGGUUUUUGGUAAUUUUGGAGGGCUGGUGGUGGUGAAUGGUAAUAUGCUGGUUGGGUGUUAUAAGUAUGGUAGGUGGCGGCGGGUUGUUGGUAUCUGGAAGGUGAAGGCUGAUAUGUGGGUGGUGGGGUUUGGUAUGGAAGAGGAGAUUUUGGACCUUGGGCUACCAUUACUGCACCAACUUCUUUCUUUUUAGCUAUACCUCAUGACUGCAAGGCUUUGUUUGUAGCUUGGAGUGUCACCACCCCGCUUUUAAUUCCUUCUUUUAUUCUUUCUCCCAAUUUGAUGAUGUCGAGAAAUUUAUGAUUUUCAAUAACCAUCAACCUCUCACAAUAUUGCAGAUCCUGAGCUCGGAUGAAGAACUUGUUCAUCUAUUAUUCUUCCAGUGCUGGCCUUACUUUUACAGCUUUUGAUCUCCAUCGAGUGGCAUACUUGCGGAUAGUUUCUGUGGGAUUCUUAUUAUGAUUUUGAAUGUAGAAGACAUCUGGUGCAUUUUCUGUAUUGAACCUGAACCUAUCCAUAAAAUCUGAUGCCAUGCUCACCCAGUUAACCCAUUUCUUCGGGUUUUAACUAAUAUACCAGGACAGGGCGUCUGCGGUGAGGCUCCUCAUGAAUAGCUUCAUGCGGAUUCUUUCGUCUUUACCAACCUCUACGAGCUUGUCACAAUAUGUUCUCAAGUGUACCUUCAGAUCUCCUGUCCCGUUGAACAUUUUGAACUUAGGAGGUUUGUAACCCUCCAGUAGUUCUACAUCUGGCUGAUACACAAUCCUCAUAAUUCAGACCUUCGAUGCCUUUACCGCCUUCAACACCUUUGACUCGACUAUUAAGUUUCUUGAGUUCUUCCGCCACGUUCUUAAUGAGCAGGUCCUUCUUGGCGGAUUCAGAUAUGUAUAAGGUUUGUUGUGGAGUGUAGGGUAAGGUUUCCACAUAUAUAGGGUCGCUUUGAUGGACUCCAAGAAUUUGGGUAUUGAUGGACUCCAGGAAUUUGGGCAUAAUGGUGGUCGUUGGUUGAGUUUUGGGGAUCAGGGGUAGGUUAUGGUACAUUUCGAGGAGUGUGGUAGGUAGUGAUUUGUGGAUACUGUGUUGGAUGGUAAUGAUGCUGUGGAGGAUUAGGAUUUUGAGAAGGUGUGGCAUACUGAUGAGGUGUGGGAGGAUUUUGUUUUGUGUGUUUUGGGGAGGUGCUGGGUUUUGGGCGUUUUGUUGGUUGACGUCGGGGACGUUCAGGGUAAGGGAAAGGUUUGCCAAGUUUCGGACCUGCUCAAAUUCCCCUUGUAGCUCUAGUAUCUUUUGUUCCAAUCGUAAAACCAAGUCAUUCUAUGCCGUAGUACUCCGACCAGCUGAAGUCUCAACAUUCUCUACAUUCGUAGCAUUGUCUUUCCUGAUACCACUUGCAUCAUCCAUUCUGGCUUUUCCCUUGCUUUUAGGAUCACUAGGAGGAGGAGGAGGUGGAGGACCUCUAGAUAUAGUAUGAUAUGCUGAUGAUACCAUUAUGCACGAACCAAUCUUAGGAGAUAGGAAUAAACAAAGAAAGAAAAGAAGAAAAAUAAAAAGGCAAACAAGUCAGUAAGGAGUACUAAAGGGAUAUUCGUGAUAUUUAAACACAUAUUGCGGGAUUAUAAAUUUGUGUCCUAUUUUGGGGACCUCGUGGUGCCCGAGGUAGGCCUAAGUGACAUAUAGAUUUGGAGAAAAUCGAUACCAAUAACUGCAUCAUUUCAUUAAUAUAAUAAAUAAACCAAAUCUCAACUAAAACGACAAUAAUUAUAAAGAGUCAUUAAUGGCAUAUGCCUUAUUACAACCAAAGCCUAAAUUGAGUCUAGAAAGCAAGUAAAACAUAAUUUCUAAUCUAUUUGGUCCCAGAUUGACCUUCUCCAUGCUUGGAUUUCUUUGCUCCAUCGAUCAGAUUCCCCAGGUCGCGAAUGUCCAACAACAGAUAUGCCCUUGCUAGGAGCCCUCCUUCAUUGCCAUCCAUGUUUUGACAGCCUGCAACCCUGUUUCUCAUCUUCCCUUCAAGCUCCAUCAACCCUUGCUCUAAAUAUUCAAACCUCUCUGUUGACUUAGUAGCAAUUUCUCUCCACUCGUUGAUUGCUUCCAUAUUUGCUUUAUAUUGUUCCAAAUGCUUGGCUUCAGACUCGAAAACCCUUAACAUCCUGUAUUUGACUUGUGCUUUAGCAGCGUCGUCUACAACCCUAUUAUUCAGAUUAAUCCAUGGCUUGACAUACCCCGCUAUAUUAUUUACCAACCAUGAUGAAUAGAAGUGUACAUGGCCGGCAUGAUACCGAUUUGGCUCGAUGGUAUCUUUCUCCACAAUGAUCUUUUGAUGCCACAUGUGUUGUGCCUCGAACUUGAAUGGAAUGGUGUUCCCCUGGAAGUCUGCUUUGUAUUGAACCAUUUUGCAAACUCAUGGUAUAAUCUGUUUUCUCCCAGCUUACCUCAUAACUCUGAUAGGGGCAUAAGGAUAGAUCCCCCUCAAUCUGAUUAGCACUAGAUGAGGAGUAUCUCUUGACCUGGUGAUGAAUUCACUGCUUGGGAACCACUUGAACAUCCAAUGUACCUUGUCAUCAGUUAGAUUGUUGAGGAAGUGUGCCCAGCUCACAGUGUUUCCCGGUUGCGCAAACUUGUUUGGGAUAAAAGUCAUUCUCUUCGGACGAUGAUAGGCUAUAUGGUCAUUCUAUGAUCGUCGCGGAUAUUCUUGAUCGUAUUCUCCCCUCUGAAGGCGUUCCAACCACCAUACUUGCAGCAACAGAUUGUAACACUCGAAAUUUCUAUACCCCUUCUUGCAACGGUUUAAAGCCCGAUACAUAUCAACCAAAAUCAUAGGGACAAUACUGUAAGUUUGCCCCUCAAUUCCCUCCAUUAAAGCCUUAGUGACCAUAGCUAGGCGAGUGUGGAUCCUUUCUCCUUGUAUUGGAAAUACCAACAUCCCCAAAAUAUAGACAAUGAAUAUAAAACCUCGGCAGUGAGUCCAACCCAAAGAAGUGAUGGCAAACUCAUCAUGGUAUAGGCGUUAUGACUUGAUGUGUCCAUAACGCUCAUAGAGGAAAUCGAAUGGUAUAUAAGACUUCUUCAAACAUACUAAAUCAUCAUUUUUCCUGAAACCCAUCAUUUUCAAGAUACCUCGAGGAGUGCAAUUUUCCGGUACAAACAAACUAGGACUAUCCCAUGGGAGCCCAGUGAAACCUCCUAUUUCUUUUAAAAGGGAAGUCAUUUCUAUGUCACCAAAACGGAAAACAACUCUCUUUUCAUCCCAGAACAUAGUAGCGGCCUCGAUUAAUGCAUUUUUGGCUUAAUGUCUAACAUAGAGGGAAAAUUCACGAGGACCCUAUUCACAUGGUUUUUGUCACUUGGCGGGAGAUUUUUCCACCAAUCUAGCGGCAAAGGUGGGAUAUUUCGAACCAUGCCGAACCUGGGGACUCCGUACCUCCUCUUUGCAAAACAAAUUGAGUUAGCCCUUCCCCCCUCCAAAUUUGGCUAAUUACACGUUAAUGAUCAAUAUAUUGGCAUGUUUUCUCCAAAUAAUGCACAGAUCAUGAUUGUGUCUAUUGGGAUUAUGGAAAUUCCGGCGGACUUUGGACAAGGCUUGUCUUAGCGAGUUAUUAUGUGGACAACAUUCUAACUCAUACUAGGUUUGGACAUGAUGCAUGCACCGUUGAUAUUAGAGUAGGGGUUUGUAGAAGACACUAGACCGGUACCCUCAAAAAGAAAACUAGAGAGCGAAAGGCACGGAACCGUCGAUUGCACCGCUGAUCGACUAGUUUUACCUCAAAUAAGCCUUUCCAAAUUUAAAGUAUAAUUUAGGAAGAGCGUGGACACUCAUCAAGUGUCGCUAUAGUAUUAAGUACGCAAGAGUAGAAUAUGAUGUAGAUCAUGCUUUAUGCAAAGAUAAAACAACACAUUGUCACAUAUAUUUUUUGCAUGAUGAAAGCAGUAAAUGCAGUAUUGAAUGAAACGUAAAGACAAAGGAAGAAAAACAAGGAAGAAGUUAAUUCACGCAAUGUGGAAAUUGUAAUGAAAUAGAUAAGGGGGUAAGGGUGGGAAGAUACAUGAUGUAGCAAUUCUAAAAAAUGUCUAAAGGAAAGCGCAUGUUAUUACCAAAUUAAGCAGAGUUUGCAUAUGAGUUCAAAUAAAGGGAAAGCGGGGAAAAGGGUAUACAAGUAACAAAUAAAAAGGAAAUGGGAGUGGGAUAUUCAUGUAACAACAAAUAUAAUAAAGACACGCGUAUCAAAGAAGACUAAUUCAUAUAAACCGAGUUCACUUAUGCUAAGAGCCUAAAAAAUCCCCAGUAGAGUCGCCAUGCUAUCGCGCCGCUUUUUCUCGCGAAAUCGGAUUUCGGCACAUGACAACUCUUUUAAGGAAGGUGUUAAAAGAGAGAGUCACCACCUAACAAUUUUUAAGGUGCGUUAGGACACCUAUUUGCAAAUAACUCUAUUUGACUGGUUUGCAUUAUCAAAGAUCGAGUAAGGGCUCGAAAUUACCUCAAAGAGAAGGUAUUAGGCACUCUUUGAGGUCCACAACUAUGGGUCUCAGCCGAACUCAAACUAUAUGAAUUGGUAUUAGGCACUCUUUGAGGUCCACAACUAUGGGUCCCAGCCGAACUCGAACUAUAUGAAUUGGUAUUAGGCACUCUUUGAGGUCCACAACUAUGGGUCCCAGUCGAACUCGAACUAUAUGAAUUAUUCUAUGUGAUCAAAUAAACAAAGAGAGAGAGAGAGCACAAAAAAUUAAAUAAUUUCAAUUUUGAAACACAAAUAAUUGAUUAAAGACAAGAGGGGGUGGGGGGGGGUCCUAAAUUUUUUUAGCCUAAAGGAUCACCCAGUGCAAUAUAAAUAAUACUUUGUAACUCCCUCGAGAUGGGGCGUUACUCGUAUUAUUCAGCGGGCACAGACUAUCAUCUCCUACAAUCCGAUUACUAUCUUUAAGUUGUUACCUAAAGCGCACUAGUUGAUUCUAAACCGUGCCUUAUGCGUGCACUAUCUUUCCCAUGCCUAUGGUCUAGGAGGCGUUUGGACCUCUAUUUGUAUGGUUCUAGACCUAACUUAGGCUGCUCAAAAUGAGAAAACUAAGCAACAUACAAAACAAGUUGGACUUCACAUAAAAGUAGUUAAGGUCUCAAGUUAGCCUCCACACUUAGACAACAAAUGCAUGUAAACACAUAUGCAAAUUAGGAGUUUUCAGAAUUUAGAAUUGAGACGAGUUAAAGGCAUUAAGCCCUAUAAAUAUGAUUUCUAUAUGAUUCUGGAUUUUAAACAUGCAACAGUUUCAGAUGUAAGGUGUAAUCUUAUAGACGUGAUUUUUGAACAGGUGCACAGUUUAUGAAAUCUGAUAUUACAUGCUGAUUAUUGAGACUACAGGUUUGUGACGAUCCGGCCAGUCGUCUCAUAAGUUACCGCUCUAUUUCCCCCAUUUCUACUUCUUAUUGCUUUGUUUAUCGGUUCUAUGAGUGAUCUGGUUGGUUGGCUUAGGUUCGGAAAAGUUUUGAGAAGGUUUGAGACACUUAGUCUCUUUUGAGAAAGCUUAAGUUAGAAAAGUCAACCGAAUGUUGACUUAUAUGUUACAGGGCUUGGAUAUGAGUCCGAUGGUUCGGUUAGCUUCGGGAGAUGAUUCGGGACUUAGGAGCAUGAUCGGAAUGAGUUUUGGAUGUUCGGAGUAGAUUGAGGCUUGAAUUGGCGAAGUUGAUAAUUUGGUGAUUUCCGGUUGGUAGGUGAGAUUUUGAUAUAGGGGUCGAAAUGGAAUUCCGAGAGUUACAGUAGCUCCAUUGUGUCAAUUGGUAGGCAUUGCAAAAUUUUAGGUCAUUCGGACGUGGUUUGAUUGGGUUUUUGAUCAAAAGCAUAAUUCGGAAGAUUUUGGAAAAUUAUGCUUGAAUCCGAUGUGUUUUGGUUGAUUUGAUAUUGUUUGAGGUGUUUUGAAGAUUGAUACAAGUUUGAAUAAGGUAUUAGGAUAUGUUUGUGCUCUUGGCUGAGGUCCUGGGGGCCUCGGGGUGAUUUCGGAUAGUUGAUGGAAAGGUUUGAGACUUGUUGCAGCUAUUGAACCUUGCUGCUUCUGGUAUUUCCGCACCUGCGGAUUAGGGACAGGAUUUGGUAUAGUUGGCCGUGAUAGUGUAGUGAUUCUAUCCCUCCCCUACGUUUUCUUUUUCCUUCCACCCCCAAAAAGCGAAAGGCGGGAAUUAAUUACUAGUUAUUCUCCAAUCACCCGAAAGCAGCGGCAAGGCGGACAUUGAUUUUGCAGAAAGGCUGGCUGCCUUGCAGGGUCGCUUGCCUAGUUCACCGGUACUAGGCUAUGAGAGGCUCAACAUCGGGUCCAAUGUCGCUGUCCGAGCCUUCCCUUGAUUGUGCCUUUAGGCUUUCUUCUUGCUGCUUUGUUUGCGCUUUCGAAUCCGCUUCUGUAAAGAAAGGAGAAGAGAGAGGUGUCGGCUAACUAAGGACGAUGAUGGAAACUAUCCCAGAAAGGUGAGCAAGAAGAUCUUCACUACUAGCUAGUAUUGAAAGAAAAGAAGGCCUACCUUCGCUUUGUGCGCUAAGAGCUAUGGCUCUUCUACAUUAUAUAAUCUAUAAUAUGUUCAUUCAUACCAAUAUACCUGCUAAAAAAAACCAAUAAAUUUUCAACCCCUCUCACAGUCAUCAAACCUGCAACACCAAAUUCCUCUCCGCCCUCUGCUCGGCAACGCAAUUCCUAUGCUCACAGCCAGUUAGAGCAAAAAAAAGCAGGUGCGACGCCGCACGUGCGGGGGAUCGGCCGCAGAAGCGAAAAAGGGCUUGAGGGUCAGGAACCGCAGAAGCGGCUAAGAGGACCGCAUCUGCGAAGUCGCAGAUGCGGAUAUGGGAUCGCAAGUGCGGUAAUGGGGUGUUAAGUGAUUUCCACAGAAGCGGAGGAAGAAUCGCAUAUGCGGUACCGCAGAAGCGAGUAUGGGACCGUAGAUGCGAAAAGGUCUUGGCAGAAGGUAUAAAUUGUGGCCUUCGCGAAUUUUAGCUAUUUUCACCAUUUUUAUCUCGGCUUUGGAGCUUUUUGGACGAUUUGAAAGAGGGAUUUCAAGGGAACUUCAUUGAGAUAAGGAAUUUGGACCUAAAACUCGUUCCUAUGCUAUUAUUACACAGAUUAGAGCUAGAAAUCAUGGAAACUAAGAGUGAAAAUUGGGGAAACUAGGGUUUGGAAACUUAGACCUAUGCUUGGGGAUUUGAAGGACCAUUUGAGGUCAGAUUUCAGAACUUUUGAUAUGUUUGAACUCGUGGGGAGAUGAGGAAUCUAUUGAUGUAAAAAUUAUCGAAUUCCGAGAUGUGGGCCCGGGGGUCGGGUUUUGGUAAUUUCGGGAUUUGUGUUGUAAAUUGAUUAUUUUCGCUUGGGCUUCGUUCCCUUAGUAUAUUUUGACGUCCUCGUUCUGAUUUUGGAUAGAUUCGACGUGAGCGGAGGCCGAUUCAAGGGGCAAAGGCAUCGCGAGCUAGAGAUUUGAUCAGUUCGAGGUGAGUAAUGAUUCUAAAUGAUGUUCUGAGUGUAUGAAACCCAAGACUUGCACAUCGUUGUGCUAUAUUUAGGUGACACACAUGUUUGAUGACGAGCGUGGGAUCGUGCACUAUUGGGGAUUGUGACUUAGUCCGUCCCGAAUGACUAUUUUACCGUGUAUUUGACUGAAAUCUAUUUGCUAUCAUCAUGAUUUGGGCUGAAUGCCAUAUUUGGGCCUUGUGCCAACUAUUUGAACCCUUCGGGGAUUUUUACUGGUAUUUUCUCACUGAUUUGACUUUAUACUUGAACUCAGUCAUGUUAUAUUUCACUGUUUUCGUACUCAGCCAUGUUUACUCUAUUUUAAACACUUACAUGAUCUUUUAAAUGAUAUUUUUGGGCUGAGAAUCAUGUUUUACUAUUGCCCGAGUGGAUUGUGAGGAUUUUGACUGAGUAAGGCCAAGGGCCUAUGUUGUGAGGAAACAUUUGAUACUGAUUAUGAGACCGAAGGCCUGAGAUAUGUAUGCCACGAGGUGGCUUGAUUGAUACGAGGCCGAGGGCCUAGUGAUGAUGCCAUGAGGUGGCUUGAUAUUGUGCUUGGGACGUAAGGGGCCCCUCCAGGAGUUUGUACACCCCCAGUCAGCGCGAGUACCCAUUGUGAUGUGAGAUUGAGCCCGAGGGGCUCGUAUUUUUCUAUGUGAUUGCCCGAGGGGCUAGUAUUGUUCUGAGAUAUUGCCCAAGAGGCAGAUUUGUUGAUAGCCCGAUGGGCAUACCUUUAUGUGUUUACUUUUCAUAAUUGACUGUCAAGUACCUGCCUAAUUGUUGAAAAAGGCUUUUCAUGAAGUAAAUUUUGAGUUAAAGGAUUUUACCUAUCUUUCACUGGUUUACUGUUUUAAUGGUUUUACUGCUUCAUUAUAGCAUGCUUUUGUGCCUUACGUGAUUUCCUACUUUCAGUAUUUAUUUACAUUUGUUACUCACUGAGUUGGAGUACUCACUUUAUUCCCUGCACCCCAUGUGCAGAUUCAGGCGUUGCUGAUCCGACCAGUGUACGUUGAGGGCUCCCGGCGGACAUUCGGAGUUCAUGAGGUAGUUGCUUGGCGUUCGCAGUUCCGUGUUUCUCCCUCUUUGUCAUUUCUAUCUCUUUUCGGACAUUUGUAAUAGUUAUAGACUUAUCAGACUUGUAGUAGGAUUUAUAGAUGCUCAUGGCUAGUGACACCCCGGUAUCGGGCUGUGUUGGGUUAUUUUUCGCGAAUUAUGAUAUUAUCUAUUAGCUUUGGAUUAUCUUAUCAUGAUUUAGAUUUGUUUCUUAUGAUUUAACUGUUAAUAAUUUGAUAUGGGAAGUGUCGGCUGGCCUUGUCUUCAUAAGAGGCGCCAUCACGACUAGGUACGGCUUUGGGGUCGUGACAAGGUUAUAAGUUACUGAUCCUAUAGACAUGAUUGCUAAGUGAUUCUGGAUUCCAGCAUUA